RNA transcript from Sapajus apella (tufted capuchin), 1040 nucleotides. It is a transcript of the gene named succinate dehydrogenase [ubiquinone] cytochrome b small subunit, mitochondrial pseudogene, with no coding region annotated. The record is from RefSeq and is a predicted model, not a curated record. NCBI's taxonomy places the organism in Eukaryota, Metazoa, Chordata, Mammalia, Primates, Cebidae. The transcript has a single exon.
GCCCUCAGGAAUGAGAUAGCGGUUCUCUGGAGACUGAGUGCUCUUUGCGGUGCCCAAGGAGGCCGAGCUCUGUUGCUACGAACUUCAGUGGUCAGACCUGCUCAUAUUUCAGCAUUUCUUCAGGACCAACCUACCCCAGAAUGGUGUGGAGUGCAGCACAUUCACUUGUCACCGAGUCACCAUUCUGGUUCCAAGGCUGCAUCUCUCCACUGUACUAGUGAGAGGGUUGUCAGUGUUUUGCUUCUGGGUCUGCUUCCGGCUACUUAUUUGAAUCCUUGCUCUGCGAUGGACUAUUCUCUGGCUGCAACUCUCACUCUUCAUGGUCACUGGGGCCUUGGACAAGUUGUUACUAUGUUCAUGGGGAUGUCUCGCAGAAAUCUGCCAAGGCAGGGCUUUUGGGACUUUCAGCUUUAACCUUUGCUGGGCUUUACUAUUUCAACUAUCACGAUGUGGGCAUCUGCAAAGCUGUUGCCAUGCUGUGGAAACUCUGAGCUUUUUGACUUCAUACUUUGAAGAAUUGAUGUAUGCCUAUUUGCCUCUGCUUUGUCAUGUCAUUCAGCUCACAGUAAGGAAGAAAUAACAUAAGUCUAUUGGUGAACAGUCUUCUUCUCUUAAUCUUUGAGGAAAAGGUUUGAGAGGAAUUAUGUCUAAGAAAUUGUGAGUCUGAGUUCUGUAUUCUGGUAAGUAAAUGGGGUUGCCUCCCAGCUUCUCAUAAGACUCACAGUAUAACUAAACAUGAUAUAUGAGCAUUUGCCUUUUAUCAAUCUCUUAAAGAGAAUCCAGUUUUAUUACUAUUAAUAUAUGAUCAAACUUCUUUUUUGCCUUGGAAAUAAUGGACAAAGGGAAAUAUCGUUAAUUCAUGAAUAAAAACUUUGCAGAAAACUAGACAGUGUUUAAUUUUUGAAAAUUUCCCUCUCUAUUCAGUAGAUACCACCUACUGAUGGAUACAUAUACUAGGGAAAUUUUAAAAUUUGGAAAUGCUGGUAUCUCAUAUUAUAAAUUUCUAAAUCCUUCGAAGAAAAGCUUGUGGUGCUUCUGAA